AAGUAUUUUAAAUAGAAAAAUAAAAGGAGAAACCCCAUCUUCUUACCCAUGACCGGCUGCUUCUUUUUGAGAAGGGAAAGUCUUUCAUUUUUUGUACUUUUUUCAUUCCUCAUCAAAUUUAAUCAUAAGGUCAAAUUAGGAUUUCUUAGUAAUAUCAAGUAGGAAACCAAUUUCUAAGUUCAUUUUCAUCUACCAUCUCAUUUCUCAAAACUUAGAGUUUAUGAGUUUAGUGAGAUAAAGCCAUGACUAGAGGGAGAAAACUCCAAGAAAGAAAUGUUGGAUGGAUGGAGAGGGUAAUUUUUAGUGAAUAAUUGGAUGGAUUGAAGUGUUGAGAAAGCAUGAGGAAGCCUUGUGGUGAAACUUUUACUACGAAUGAGGUAAGUACUUUGCAUUCUCUUAACUUCCCCUCAAUAAAAUAAUUAAGGAAGUUGUUAAAAUGAUGUAAUAAAGUAUAUAAUGACUAUGUAUGUUUAAAAUGUGAUUGAGAAUAUAUGAGAAAAAUAAUAGUUUAACAAGUUGUGAUAAUUAGAAGGAACAUGUUGGAAUAUAUGAAUUUGGCUUAAUGGCAUUAAAAUUUGGGUUAGGAGUGUCAAAAGAAUUAUUGCUAUACCAUAAUGUAGAGAAAUGUGGAUUAUUGCUAAAAUGAACUAAAGGUUGAAUUUUUUUUAUAAAAAAUCUUAAUGAGUGAGAAUGAGGAAGUCAAAAAAGUGCAUGGUGUUUAUAUAUGAAUGUGGAAAUUAUUGAUGAGAGCAUUAAGUGCUUGAAUAGCUUAUAAAUUGAAUAUGUGAGAUUUAAAUGUAAGAUAAUGAAUGGAUGCUCAAAGAGUUUCAAUUAUGUGAUUUGGAUAUAUGCUUUAUAUAGUAGAACAUUAUAUAUCUCUAUGUGAGAACCAUGCUUUAUGAGGUAACAUGCUAUUUGGAAAUGGCAUAAGUGAUUAAUAUGUGUAAUGCCUUAAUAAAUUUAGUAAUUAGUGAGGAUACAAUUAAUUGUAACAUGGCAAAUAAUGCACUUUAAAAGUAAGUAAGACAAAAUAGGUAAGCACCCUUAUAUAUUGGAAAUAAAUGAAAAAUAAAUCUCAAGGGCCUUGAGUACUAAUGUUGUGCUACAAAGAAAUACAGAAUGAAAUGUCCUUAACAUAUGGUUUUAAGUGAACUCUUGCAUAAAACUUAUAAAAGAGUCAAGCAACUAAGAUUAAGACAAUUUAGGAUAAUCUACGAGUACUUAUUAAGCUCUCGAGCUUAACGCGUUAGUUGUUUAGCAUAGGUGAAAAUUGUUCUAUGAAGAUUGAACUAGUGGCUUGGAGAUAUUACAUCACCACUUGAAGAAAAAACUUGUGAUAUUGUCUUAGAAUUUGUAGUAAAAUGACAUGUAAUAAAGACUUAGUCCCUUAUAAAGAGUUGUAAUUUUUUAUUUUAUGCCGAUAAAGGGCAAUGUUUUUUAAUUCAAUGACUGUUGAGCAUCUUCUUAAGAAUGCGAGUUCUAUGUUGAAUGAUGGUUUUAAAUCCCAUUUAAAUGUGUUCUAAA
Molecule: long non-coding RNA, 1524 nt
Organism: Gossypium arboreum
Lineage: Eukaryota; Viridiplantae; Streptophyta; Magnoliopsida; Malvales; Malvaceae
Exons: 2
Source: RefSeq, a predicted model, not a curated record